RNAcentral lists this unclassified non-coding RNA (454 nucleotides) under Hevea brasiliensis (rubber tree). Lineage: Eukaryota; Viridiplantae; Streptophyta; Magnoliopsida; Malpighiales; Euphorbiaceae. The record is from RNAcentral.
UUUUUUCCUUCUUUUUUCUUUUUUUUUUCUAUCAUGCCAAUGUUCACUUCCCAGAAUCCAUAAAAUGGUGAAGCCAAAAUAAUGGAGACGAUUUUCCACAAGGCACAAGAUGCCUAAAAAUAGUUGUAUCCGGGCAGCGUAACCAGGUUCAAAGAUUUUCAAGCAAAUUGUGCAUGGCCCUUACAUCUUCAGAGUAUCAAGGGCUGAUAAUGAUGAAGAGCUAAAAUUCAUCAUAGAAUAUCUCCAAACACUAGGAACUAAUGCAGAGUUAAGUGGGUCUAGAGUCUAGAAAGGGCCAUAAGCUCCCCAAGGUUGAAAAUGAUUUUUGAGCAUUAAAUAUAAGUUCAGUAAGUUAAGAGAAUGGUUUUCUAAGCUAGCCUAUCUUCAACACCAUAUAGUAGCUGUGGAAGAAGGGUUGUUGGUGGGGGGGGGGGGGCCGCCGCGGCUGCGUUUG